UCCGGCAUGUGCCCCCGUUCUUCGGAAUCACUGGGCUUACAGAGUCCGUAGGCGGCAUGUUAGGUGAGGUGUGAAAUCCCCCGGCUCAACCGAGGAAUUGCGCUUCAAACCGGCGUGCUCGAGGAAGAUAGAGGUGGGCGGAACUGAUGGUGGAGCGGUGAAAUGCGUUGAUAUCAUCAGGAACACCGGAGGCGAAGGCGGCCCACUGGGUCUUUUCUGACGCUGAGGGACGAAAGCUAGGGGAGCGAACGGG
Molecule: ribosomal RNA, 253 nt
Filed under: uncultured bacterium
Lineage: Bacteria
Description: partial 16S ribosomal RNA
Rfam family: Bacterial small subunit ribosomal RNA
Source: RNAcentral